RNAcentral lists this ribosomal RNA (586 nucleotides) under uncultured bacterium. RNAcentral's name for it is "partial 16S ribosomal RNA". It matches the Rfam family "Bacterial small subunit ribosomal RNA", at positions 355 to 928 of the family's 1533-position model. The record is from RNAcentral.
UGGGGAAUUUUGGACAAUGGGCGAAAGCCUGAUCCAGCAAUGCCGCGUGUGUGAAGAAGGCCUUCGGGUUGUAAAGCACUUUUGUCCGGAAAGAAAUCCUUGGCUCUAAUACAGUCGGGGGAUGACGGUACCGGAAGAAUAAGCACCGGCUAACUACGUGCCAGCAGCCGCGGUAAUACGUAGGGUGCAAGCGUUAAUCGGAAUUACUGGGCGUAAAGCGUGCGCAGGCGGUUUGCUAAGACCGAUGUGAAAUCCCCGGGCUCAACCUGGGAACUGCAUUGGUGACUGGCAGGCUAGAGUAUGGCAGAGGGGGGUAGAAUUCCACGUGUAGCAGUGAAAUGCGUAGAGAUGUGGAGGAAUACCGAUGGCGAAGGCAGCCCCCUGGGCCAAAUACUGACGCUCAUGCACGAAAAGCGUGGGGAGCAAAACAGGAUUAGAUACCCUGGUAGUCCACGCCCUAAAACGAUGUCAACUAGUUGUUGGGGAUUCAUUUCCUUAGUAACGUAGCUAACGCGUGAAGUUGACCGCCUGGAGAGUACGGUCGUCAAAGAUUAAAACUCAAAUGAAUUGACGGGGUCAUAGCUGA